Long non-coding RNA from Mauremys mutica (yellowpond turtle), 406 nucleotides. RefSeq lists it as uncharacterized. Lineage: Eukaryota; Metazoa; Chordata; Testudines; Geoemydidae. The transcript is spliced from 3 exons. The record is from RefSeq and is a predicted model, not a curated record.
GUGACUAUGGAAGGUGCAAGGCCCUGAACCUCCAGCAUCCCUCAGUUGCCAUCCAGACUGAUAACUGUUUCCUGGAACAUGAGCUGACAGGAUUCCAAAUAUUAUUUUAGUGCCCCUGAAAUUAAGAUGGGAAACUAAGGCACCGACAGGAGAAGUGACUUGCCCAAGAUCAGCCAGCCGGCAGUGGCAGAGACAGGAAUAGAAUCCAGAUUCCCCCGUCCACUGACCUAUCCACUAGGUCAUUUCGGAAUUUCUAGUUCUAAGUCCGAUGUUCAUCUUCUAGGUCACUCAGGCAAUAUUGACUCCGGCCUUUUUCUCUCUUUUUGUCUUAGUUUCCCUAGCUGCAUAAAGGAAUAGUACUACAAUUGGCCUAUGUUGCAACGUGUUAUGAGAAAUAGUGUUUGUA